This 938-nucleotide ribosomal RNA is filed under the name Cortinarius sp. 5 MD-2018. Its description in RNAcentral is "eukaryotic LSU rRNA". It matches the Rfam family "Eukaryotic large subunit ribosomal RNA", at positions 1 to 921 of the family's 3401-position model. Lineage: Eukaryota; Fungi; Basidiomycota; Agaricomycetes; Agaricales; Cortinariaceae. The record is from RNAcentral.
UGUGACCUCAAAUCAGGUAGGACUACCCGCUGAACUUAAGCAUAUCAAUAAGCGGAGGAAAAGAAACUAACAAGGAUUCCCCUAGUAACUGCGAGUGAAGCGGGAAAAGCUCAAAUUUAAAAUCUGGCGGUCUUUUGGCUGUCCGAGUUGUAAUCUAGAGAAGUGUUAUCCGCGCUGGACCGUGUACAAGUCUCCUGGAAUGGAGCAUCAUAGAGGGUGAGAAUCCCGUCUUUGACAUGGACUGCCAGGCUUUGUGAUGCGCUCUCAAAGAGUCGAGUUGUUUGGGAUGCAGCUCAAAAUGGUGGUAAAUUCCAUCUAAAGCUAAAUAUUGUCGAGAGACGAUAGCGAACAAGUACCGUGAUGGAAAGAUGAAAAGAAGAUUGGAAAGAGAGUAGAACAGCAUGUGAAAUAGUUGAAAGGGAAACGCUUGAAGUCAGUCGCGUUGUCCAGCGAUCAUCCACCUUUUUUCUUGGUGCACUUUUUGGUUGUUCGGGUCAGCAUCAACAUUGAGCGUUGGAAAAAGGCCAAGGGAAUGAGGCAUCUUCUGAUGAGUUAUAGCCGUCCGUCACAUCCAAUCGUUGGGAGCGAGGAACUCAGCACCCCGCAAGGCCGGGUUUUUUUUAACCACGUACGUGCUUAGGAUGCUGGCAAUAUGGCUUUAAUCGACCCGUCUUGAAACACGGACCAAGGAGUCUAACAUGCCUGCGAGUGUUUGGGUGGAAAACCCGAGCGCGUAAUGAAAGUGAAAAGUUGAGAUCCCUGUCGUGGGGAGCAUCGACGCCCGGACCAGACCUUUUGUGACGGUUCCGCGGUAGAGCAUGUAUGUUGGGACCCGAAAGAUGGUGAACUAUGCCUGAAUAGGGUGAAUCCAGAGGAAACUCUGGUGGAGGCUCGUAGCGAUUCUGACGUGCAAAUCGAUCGUCAAAUUUGGGUAUAGG